GACAGAGGAUGCAAGCGUUGUUCGGAAUUACUGGGCGUAAAGGGCUCGUAGGCGGCCAACUAAGUCAUACGUGAAAUCCCUCGGCUUAACCGGGGAACUGCGUCUGAUACUGGAUGGCUUGAGUUCGGGAGAGGGAUGCGGAAUUCCAGGUGUAGCGGUGAAAUGCGUAGAUAUCUGGAGGAACACCGGUGGCGAAGGCGGGUCUCUGGGCCGAUACUGACGCUGAGGCGCGAAAGCGUGGGGAGCAAACAGG
This 253-nucleotide ribosomal RNA is filed under the name uncultured bacterium. RNAcentral describes it as "partial 16S ribosomal RNA". It matches the Rfam family "Bacterial small subunit ribosomal RNA", at positions 524 to 776 of the family's 1533-position model. The record is from RNAcentral.